This 301-nucleotide ribosomal RNA is filed under the name uncultured bacterium. Its description in RNAcentral is "partial 16S ribosomal RNA". It matches the Rfam family "Bacterial small subunit ribosomal RNA", at positions 509 to 807 of the family's 1533-position model. The record is from RNAcentral.
CAGUCGCCACGGUAAUACGGAGGAUCCAAGCGUUAUCCGGAAUCAUUGGGUUUAAAGGGUCCGUAGGCGGUCUUGUAAGUCAGUGGUGAAAGCCCAUCGCUCAACGGUGGAACGGCCAUUGAUACUGCAGGACUUGAAUUAUUGGGAAGUAACUAGAAUAUGUAGUGUAGCGGUGAAAUGCUUAGAGAUUACAUGGAAUACCAAUUGCGAAGGCAGGUUACUACCAAUUGAUUGACGCUGAUGGACGAAAGCGUGGGUAGCGAACAGGAUUAGAUACCCCAGUAGUCCCUGUCUCUUAUAC